GGAGGAGAGCGGGGGUAGGGCUGCUGGGGAGGCCCAGGCGGCGGAGCCUCGGGGGCAGCGAACGGCGGGCAGCGGAGCGGGAGACGGUGGUUCGGGCAUUUUAAAAAUAUUUAAUCAUUCAUGAGUUGAGCUUCAUUCUUGAGUCAUGGAUGACAAGGCUUCUGUUGGAAAAAUCAGUGUCUCCUCAGACUCAGUAUCUACUCUUAAUAGUGAAGAUUUUGUCUUGGUUUCCAGGCAAGGAGAUGAGACACCAUCUACAAAUAAUGGAAGUGAUGACGAGAAAACAGGACUCAAGAUUAUAGGCAAUGGAAGUGAGCAGCAGCUGCAAAAAGAGCUAGCAGAUGUGCUGAUGGAUCCUCCAGUGGACGACCAGCCAGGGGAUAAGGAGCUUGUGGAAAGGUCACAACUGGAUGGUGAAGGAGAUGGGCUUCUUUCUAAUCAACUUACAGCUUCAUCUACCAUUAACCCUGUGCCAUUAGUAGGGCUCCAAAAACCAGAGAUGAGCCUGCCAGUGAAACCUGGACAAGGAGAUUCUGAAGGGUCAAGUCCCUUCACACCAGUGGCUGAUGAGGACAGUGUCAUUUUCAGCAAACUAACUUACUUAGGCUGUGCCUCAGUAAAUGCUCCUAGGAGUGAAGUGGAAGCCUUAAGGAUGAUGUCCAUCCUAAGAAGCCAGUGUCAGAUUUCAUUAGAUGUGACCCUCUCAGUGCCGAAUGUAUCUGAAGGAACUGUGAGACUCUUAGAUCCUCAGACAAAUACUGAGAUAGCAAACUACCCUAUCUACAAAAUCCUCUUCUGCGUCAGAGGGCACGAUGGAACUCCUGAGAGCGACUGUUUUGCUUUCACUGAAAGUCAUUACAAUGCAGAACUCUUCAGAAUACAUGUCUUCCGGUGUGAAGUACAAGAAGCUGUAAGCCGGAUACUUUAUAGUUUUGCCACUGCCUUCCGUCGUUCUGCUAAGCAGACCCCACUUUCAGCAACUGCCGCACUCCAGACUCCUGACAGUGACAUCUUUACCUUUUCAGUGUCUUUAGAAAUAAAAGAAGAUGAUGGUAAAGGGUAUUUUAGUGCAGUUCCUAAAGAUAAGGACAGACAAUGCUUUAAACUGCGCCAGGGAAUUGAUAAGAAGAUUGUCAUCUAUGUGCAACAAACAACUAAUAAAGAACUUGCCAUUGAAAGGUGUUUUGGUCUUCUCCUUAGCCCAGGAAAAGAUGUACGAAAUAGUGACAUGCACUUGUUAGAUUUGGAAUCUAUGGGCAAAAGUUCAGAUGGGAAGUCCUAUGUUAUUACUGGGAGCUGGAAUCCCAAAUCCCCACAUUUUCAAGUUGUAAAUGAAGAAACUCCUAAAGAUAAAGUGCUGUUUAUGACCACAGCUGUUGAUUUGGUAAUAACAGAAGUACAGGAGCCUGUUCGAUUUCUCAUAGAGACAAAAGUCCGUGUUUGCUCACCUAAUGAAAGAUUGUUCUGGCCCUUCAGCAAACGUAGUACUACUGAAAAUUUCUUUUUGAAACUAAAGCAGAUAAAGCAGAAGGAGAGAAAGAACAAUACUGAUACUUUAUAUGAAGUUGUAUGCUUGGAAAGUGAAUCAGAAAGAGAGAGGAGGAAAACUACAGCCAGCCCCUCAAUUCGCCUGCCACAGUCUGGAUCUCAGAGUUCAAUGAUACCUUCUCCUCCUGAAGAUGAUGAAGAGGAAGAUAAUGAUGAACCUCUCUUGAGUGGAUCUGGUGAUGUAUCCAAAGAAUGUGCAGAAAAAAUUCUUGAAACAUGGGGAGAACUACUGUCAAAAUGGCAUCUCAAUUUGAGUGUGAGACCAAGGCAGUUGUCAUCCUUGGUAAGAAGUGGUGUUCCUGAAGCACUCAGAGGAGAAGUCUGGCAGCUGCUAGCUGGCUGUCACAACAGUGACCACCUGGUAGAGAAAUACAGAAUUCUCAUCACAAAGGAGUCUCCCCAAGACAGUGCUAUUACUCGGGAUAUUAACCGGACAUUCCCAGCCCAUGACUAUUUUAAGGACACAGGAGGAGAUGGACAAGAUUCCUUAUAUAAAAUAUGCAAGGCUUACUCCGUGUAUGAUGAAGAGAUUGGCUAUUGCCAGGGCCAGUCAUUUCUCGCUGCUGUUCUGCUUCUCCAUAUGCCUGAAGAACAGGCAUUCAGUGUUCUGGUCAAGAUCAUGUUUGACUAUGGUCUCAGGGAACUGUUCAAGCAAAACUUUGAAGAUUUGCAUUGCAAAUUUUACCAGUUGGAGCGCCUCAUGCAGGAAUACAUUCCUGACCUGUACAACCACUUCCUGGAUAUAAGCCUUGAAGCACACAUGUAUGCCUCCCAGUGGUUUCUUACACUUUUCACUGCAAAAUUCCCUCUCUACAUGGUCUUCCAUAUCAUCGACCUGCUUUUAUGUGAGGGAAUAAGUGUUAUUUUUAAUGUCGCCCUUGGAUUAUUAAAGACUUCCAAGGAUGAUUUGCUAUUGACAGACUUUGAAGGUGCCUUGAAGUUCUUCAGGGUUCAGCUUCCUAAGAGAUACCGCUCAGAAGAAAAUGCAAAAAAACUAAUGGAAUUAGCUUGCAACAUGAAGAUUAGUCAAAAGAAGUUGAAAAAAUAUGAAAAAGAGUAUCACACCAUGAGAGAACAGCAGGCCCAACAAGAAGACCCCAUCGAGCGAUUUGAGCGGGAGAAUAGACGUCUGCAAGAGGCUAACAUGAGGCUGGAACAGGAAAAUGAUGACUUAGCCCACGAGCUCGUUACCAGCAAGAUUGCACUGCGAAAGGACCUGGAUAAUGCAGAGGAAAAGGCAGAUGCACUGAAUAAGGAGCUGCUUAUGACCAAACAGAAGUUGAUUGAUGCAGAGGAAGAGAAAAGACGGCUGGAAGAAGAGUCUGCUCAGUUAAAAGAAAUGUGUCGACGGGAACUCGACAAGGCAGAAUCUGAGAUUAGAAAAAACAGUUCUAUCAUCGGUGACUACAAGCAGAUUUGUUCUCAGUUGAGUGAAAGACUGGAGAAGCAGCAGACAGCUAAUAAAGUGGAAAUUGAGAAAAUUCGGCAAAAAGUGGAUGACUGUGAACGCUGCCGGGAAUUGUUCAACAAAGAGGGGCGUGUGAAGGGCACCAGCUCAGCUAAGGAGGUUUUAGAUGAGGACACGGAUGAAGAGAAGGAGACACUCAAGAACCAGUUGAGAGAGAUGGAACUAGAACUGGCACAGACCAAGUUGCAGUUGGUGGAAGCUGAGUGUAAGAUACAGGACUUGGAGCACCAUUUAGGCCUUGCCCUAAACGAGGUACAGGCAGCCAAGAAGACGUGGUUUAACCGAACACUGAGCUCCAUAAAGACAGCAACUGGGGUUCAAGGGAAAGAGACUUGCUGAGAGCAGCUCCUGCCUCCAGACACCUUCAGAAAACAUGACACCUUUUGUUGCCUUCUUUGGCCAGAUGUGUGAUUCUGUGACAAGUUCCAGGACCAGAACGUACCCAAGUCAGAUCCAUAGAAGCAUGUUGGUGAAGAAAUUGGGCCCAUAGAGAGGUUCCUGCUCAGGCUACCCGGCUAGGACGUCACCCCACAUCUGACGCCCCAUGACCCUGUGGGCAGCAGUGGGGUCAGUACUUCCCUCAAGACUUCUGAGCUACUGUUAAGCUCUUGACGCGUCUCGUGGUGGUUUCUCUCCAGUUACUAGAACACCCGAAUGAGAUUUUUCCCAGGUUGGAAAGUACAGGUGAAAGCCUUGGCCCCAUGAUCGCAAGACCUUGGAUUUCAACCAGGUACCUCCACCACCUCUUCUAGGGCCCGUCCAAGAGCAGUAGUGCUCCCUCCCUCUGCCCCCAGCUUCAGCUGAACAGGCUCUUCCCUGUGCCAGUCACAGGCAAACAAACCCAGGCAGGCCAGUGGGAGCAGUGGGUCAGCUCUUGCAGUCAGUACAAGAGUGGUGGUGAAUCCAAAAUGACAGUGUGCAGGGAGAAGAUGGGCCCUGAGUUCCCAGUGAAACAAACACCUAGUGCCUUUGUCCACACACCGCUCCUCAUAGCUGGAGGGCAGCACUGGGGUGGGCUGCAGCCUGUCCUGGCCCCUUUAUCAUCUCUGGAACCCUAGUGUCCUGAUCUGGAAUGUCUGGGUAAUGCCCACCCUCCUCGCAAACAGAUGUGAGGAUAGUGAGGUCUGUGAAAGCACGUGGUACCUUCUGAGGUUUAGGAUUCAUCCCUUCACAUGAAGGGCAGAUGCUGUCCCAUGUACUGAGCAGGAGAGUCAGUCAUGAGGGCCAGGAAAGUGGCUCUGCACAGAGUAACUCAGCCCAUUGUUGUUUAAGACAGAAGCUUUUAUUUUUAUUCAUCCAAAUGGGGGAAAUGCAACAUGUCAGGGCAUUACAGGCCACAGCAGCCGGACAGGAGGAUCAGUCUAUGGCAGAGUCCAACACAGUGCGUAGGAGCCACAGUGUGGGUGCUGCCUGUGGAGUCAGGGUGGCAGAGAGUCCCUUUGGGUGAAGGCCAGGCUUCUCUGGGCGAGGCACUGGUGACAGUCCACAUAUGCAGGCUGCUGCUUCUACCACACCGAAGGUUCAACGGUCACAGUCCUACAUGUUACCAUUGCCCCAGAAAAGGAGGACAAGUCCGUGGUGGUGGUUUUCCAGUAUUUUUGUUUAACAUAAUACACAACAGAGAGUUAUUGCCAAGGACUUUGCACUGCAAAUUAUACUAUUUACAAUUGUGUAUUCAGAAAAAAAAACAGUAAGUAGAUACAGAUAUUUUAAGUAGAUGUCUAAAAACUACCUUGGCCAUCACCAGACCAGAGUGCGGGUAAGCUACAGCCAGGAGUCCACUGCCACGUGCACGACCAUGCAGCAGGGAGAGGUUUCCACCCACGGCUAUGCUCAGCCUUCUCCAUGCUGCCUGUGCCUCCCUCCCCCCACCUGGGCCUGAGCAAGAGCCACCUGACCCCUUCACAAGGGAAGCCCCUCCAGGCAGGAACACUUCCUGGCAGGCAGACCCGGCCCCUCGUCAGCCCCUUCCCCAGCUCGCCCUGCCAAGAGCACCCUUGAGACCAGGCCCAUCAGUCUCUGUUCCUGGAAGUGCCCUCCCCCUAGUGAGGGCUCCUUCAGGAGCUCUGUCUUAAGAUGUGGCUGGGGCCCAAGCAGGCACUUACAGAGAUCAACAGGCCAGCAGAUGGGUCCCAGGUGAAAGGCCUGACUUCUAAGAUACUUAGGGAAAAACAAGAUAAACACUGCUAAGGGCUGAAGUAUAUGAAGUUUGCUCAAGUAAAAUGGCUCAGGACUCACUAGAAGAUGAGGGCCAAAGACCUGUGACCAAGUGUUCACUUUGCCUCAAGCCCUGGGGAGGGAGGCAGUCUGGAGGUUGGAGACAGCUCAUCAGCCAGCCGAAGCCACCCUAGACUCCCGGGACACAUAGUUAGGCCCCUAGUCAGGGGCCUUAGGGAUGCCUGCAAUUUGGCUCCCCUGUUUAGUUUCUGAAAAUAAGCCUUCCUGUGUCCAGGAGAGGUGGUAGUGAGUGGUCAUUGAGCCACCUCCCACUCAGCCAUGGCAGGGCCCAGCACUGGCCAGCCACACUAAGUGACUGAGGGGAGGAGCAGCACACAGUGUCCCCCGCCAUGAAAGGAUGGUGCCGUGAGGUCCCUGCCUGACCGUACAGAGCGGGCCUUGGAGCAAGAGAUGCUGUCACGGUCAGGGUCCGACAGCAGCACCUCUGGCAUGUCAGGUGAGAAAAGAGGCUGUGGGAGUGAGGGUUUCCUGGCUAAACUCCCAGGUCCUACCUCGUGUGUGGGCUGCAGCCUGAGGGAGCCAGUGAGACACUGUACUGGAGGUCACAGAGGCCCCACUCUACGUCCCUGUGGCCAGAGCCGUGCUCUCAGGGAGAGGAGCAGGGCUGGCCCUGCAAAGGGGGAGAGCUGGACACUCAAGAGGGCAACUUUCUGAAUUACAAGUCUCACCCUGUUGUCCCUGUCCUUCCUUCCUUUCUGUGAACAUGGCUUCCUAGAACAGAAAUGUUUGGGUUGGAGUCAAAAAAAGAACUUGGCCUAGGCAGGAAAAUGAGGCAGAGGGCAUGGGGCCUCUGGCCAGGGCAGUGACUGCCACACCUGCCUGGUGGAAGGCCCCUCUGGCUUCAUGGCCAAGCCAGGCUCGCCUCUGUCCUUUCCCCUCCUGUGAGUCCAGAAACACCUAUAGAGAUCACAAGCCUAUGGGUGUCUGAGAGCCCUCCCACAGCCCCGAGAGAGACAAGACCAGGCAGCAAGAGACAAGACCAACAACGGCGCCAGCGUGCCCCAGAGGCACAGGUCUCAGUGACUCUCCCUUCCGACACCUUCACUGGUUCUCACCUGGCAAAACAGCUUCCCUUGGCCCAGGUGGCACCAGUCCUUGGCUCUCAGCAAUGGCCUGCUGCCUUGCCCAACCACUCAGGACAGCACCAGACGCCUUGCCUCCUGACUGGGACCCCAGAGGACUGGAGUGACACAGGCCCAAUGGAAGCUGCUCUCUGCUGGAGGAGCCUGUGUGGAGCUUUGGGCACGUGCCUCCCUUCCCUGAGCUCCCACAGGCCUGUUGGGGGAGCUCAGUGAAGUGGCAUCUGUGCAGGCGCUGGCCUCAGGUCUUUCUCCAGUCCCUCCUGUCACUGUACACGAAGUGCACAUCGCCUCCCAGCUUUCAUUUGCCGUAACUGUGUCAGGCCCUCACCAGUGUGCAGUAAACAACUCCCUUCACCCACCUCUGAAUACAGGCUUUCAAGCACAGAGCACUGUCUAUGUUUACAGGAAUAGUGUAACUGCCUCACUUUUUCUUUUUCACCACCCCACUGAGCCCCUCGGGGCAGGUCCAGCCUGGAGUGCUGUCUGCUUCAGCCUGGCACACGUGCACAUCUCGCCUCAGUAGUCCGCAGGCUUGACAGUGUAUCAUUUGCUCUGUGUGCUGGACACAGGCCUGGCCGCAGGUGCAAAGACCAAAAGCAACUGAAGACAGGUGGUGCUGUCUUACGUGAUCUUUAGGAUGACAAGACAGAAAAAGUCUGAAGCUCUAUCAUGUCAAAAACGUGUGGUGCUCACCAGCCCACUGAAGCCAGCGGCCAGAAAACCACCCAGCUCUAGGCCUCUCCCCCCACUCGGUUACCAACAAUAACCAAACCCUUGGCUAAAAAGAGUCCAGGCUAACCUGAAAGAUCCCAUCUGUAACCACAGACCUGAUUUUUCCCUUCUACAUCCAGAGUGACAUUUCCAAGAUGUACUUGUUCCUUUCCCUCCUGAGCCCCGACAUUCACACCAUUCUCAGUGUCUGACAAGCUCACACGCAUCUUCCCUGGAGCUGCCGCCUCAGGGCCCUCCUGACACCCCCAGUCCUCUUCUCCUCUGGGCCCUAUGACCCUGGACUUCCCUGAGCCCUGCUGUGUGUUUUGUUCUCUGUCACUGUCCACCUCUCACCUAAAACCUCAGGUCUCUGUGGGCAAGGACUGCCCCUUCUUCAUCCUCAGUACUCACAAAGCCUUUGGGAAGACAGGUCCGAGCAGCAGAUGGAAGUUUCCAGUCAUGAUUAAGCCAGAGGGUGGUGAGUAAUCUCUAUAGUCUAAAGCAGGGGUUUGCAGAACAUGACCCCAUUUCCUGUGUGUUAUGAGUAGAGUGUUGGACCGCACCAAACCUGUCUGCUCACGCAUCGUCUCUGGUUGCCCCUGUGCUGUAGUGGUGGAGCGGCGGGGCUUUGACACAGCAAGGAGUCCAGAGUCUUGCUGACAACCUGGGCCUUUCCAGAAGUUCACCAACACCAGGUCUAAGACAGUGUUCUCAUAUAUUUGCACACUGUGACACAAGAGGUGACAUUUGUGUGGCCCACUAGGGUAAACAGAAAAGGCCAUUUAGAGACACCUGACCUUAGGGCUCUGACCACCCAAAAGAUUCAUGAGAUCAAUGUCUGGUGUACCUGUGCAGAAACCCUCCCUGCCCACCUGUCCAGGAUGAACCAGAGUUGGCAGGACUGACACACAAAACUGAGGCCCAAAGCAAAUCCUUUAGGAAUCUCACAAUUUCUCAUUUUUCCCUCGAAGUACUCUGUAAACAGGUCUGCACCUGCCCUCUGGCCAAGGCCGUGUUCUGCAGAAUCCCAUGAGUUCCAGCCCUUGCCCAGGAUUACGGCAGGUGGCACAGAAAAAUGACCAGGUGCCAAGAUGAUGAUGCCUUGGAAUGAGGGAAGAACACCUUUCCCUGAAGAGGCUUCUCCAUCCUCCUCACGCCCACAUGCCCCUACGCGGAGAUGCGGUUAGGCGUUAGUUGCCAAAGUAGCUCUGAGGCCGUGUGCGGCAGCAGGACACUCAGACAAACUCAGCUGAGCAGCUCACAGGCAACAAUUCAGGGCUCACCAAGCUCAGUCCAAUCUAGAGGGAAGCCUGCCACCUCCAGGCUGGCCGCCUUCCCUGAAGCCAGGGCAAACUCCUGGCAGAACAGGCUGUUUGGCAGAGAUGCUAAGGUGUCCAGGGACACCUCCUCCCCUUAGAUCCCAAACCUGGACUGCCACCCCUCCGUGCCCCUCCUUCCUCUCACCCAGUGAUCCAAAGUGUCCCCAGUCUUCCUUCAGUCUCUUUCAAGUCAUUUUUGAGACACCCCCAUCACCAUCCUCAGGCCAGAUAGUAUACUCGCAUAGCAUUAGCUAAAUGAAAACAUAAUUUCUCCCUGAUAGUAAAAAACAAGCUUCAAACACAAAAGCUUCCUCUGUUCAUAUAGCCACACCUCAGUAUUCCAGCCUGUCUUUGUGGUUUAUUAAACAACUUUUCCACGUG
Manis javanica (Malayan pangolin) is the source of this 8747-nucleotide non-coding RNA. NCBI's taxonomy places the organism in Eukaryota, Metazoa, Chordata, Mammalia, Pholidota, Manidae. The record is from RefSeq and is a predicted model, not a curated record.